CGGCGCGGCCGGGCGGACCGGCCGCGCCGGUCCGCCCGGCGGGCGGACCGGCCGGCGGGGCGCUCUGCGCGGCCCGCGCGCCGCCC
Molecule: transfer RNA, 86 nt
Filed under: Streptomyces glebosus
Lineage: Bacteria; Bacillati; Actinomycetota; Actinomycetes; Kitasatosporales; Streptomycetaceae
Description: tRNA-Ala
Source: RNAcentral